RNAcentral lists this transfer RNA (72 nucleotides) under Enterococcus faecalis. RNAcentral describes it as "tRNA-Glu". It matches the Rfam family "tRNA". From Rfam's summary of the family: Transfer RNA (tRNA) molecules are approximately 80 nucleotides in length. Their secondary structure includes four short double-helical elements and three loops (D, anti-codon, and T loops). The record is from RNAcentral. Lineage: Bacteria; Bacillati; Bacillota; Bacilli; Lactobacillales; Enterococcaceae.
GGCCCGUUGGUCAAGCGGUUAAGACACCGCCCUUUCACGGCGGUAACACGGGUUCGAGUCCCGUACCGGUCA